Molecule: ribosomal RNA, 494 nt
Filed under: uncultured bacterium
Lineage: Bacteria
Description: partial 16S ribosomal RNA
Rfam family: Bacterial small subunit ribosomal RNA
Source: RNAcentral
GACGAACGCUGGCGGCGUGCUUAACACAUGCAAGUCGAACGGAAAGGCCUGCUUUCCCUUGUGCAUUGCGGGUACUCGAGUGGCGAACGGGUGAGUAACACGUGAGUGAUCUGCCCCCAACUUGGGUAUAAGCCUGGGAAACUGGGUCUAAUUCCCGAUAGGACUGCAGGGUGGUGCCUGUGGUGGAAAACGAUUUUCUAGUGGUUGGGGAUGAGCUCGCGGCCUAUCAGCUUGUUGGUGGGGUAAUGGCCUACCAAGGCGGCGAAGGGUAGCCGGCCUGAGGGGGUGGACGGCCACAGUGGGACGGAGAUACGGCACAGAGACCUACGGCAGGAAGCAGUGGGGAAUAUUGGACAAUGGGCGGAAGCCUGAUGCAGCGACGCCGCGUGGGGGAUGACGGCCUUCGGGUUGUAAACUCCUUUCGGCCGCGAGGAAGCCACCUGGUUGGAAGGGUGGUGACGGUAGUGGUAGAAGAAGCACCGGCUAACUACGUG